Molecule: ribosomal RNA, 449 nt
Filed under: uncultured bacterium
Lineage: Bacteria
Description: bacterial SSU rRNA
Rfam family: Bacterial small subunit ribosomal RNA
Source: RNAcentral
UGGGGAAUUUUGGACAAUGGGGGCAACCCUGAUCCAGCCAUGCCGCGUGCGGGAAGAAGGCCUUCGGGUUGUAAACCGCUUUUAGCCGGGAAGAAAAGGGCACGGAUAACACCCGUGUUUUUUGACGGUACCGGCGGAAUAAGCACCGGCUAACUACGUGCCAGCAGCCGCGGUAAUACGUAGGGUGCGAGCGUUAAUCGGAAUUACUGGGCGUAAAGCGUGCGCAGGCGGUUCGUUGUGUCGGUGGUGAAAGCCCCGGGCUUAACCUGGGAAUGGCCAUGGAAACUGGCGAACUGGAGUGUGGCAGAGGGGGGUGGAAUUCCGCGUGUAGCAGUGAAAUGCGUAGAGAUGCGGAGGAACACCGAUGGCGAAGGCAGCCCCCUGGGCUAACACUGACGCUCAGGCACGAAAGCGUGGGGAGCAAACAGGAUUAGAUACCCCCGUAGUCC